UACGUAGGGGGCAAGCGUUGUCCGGAAUCAUUGGGCGUAAAGAGCGCGUAGGCGGUCCGGUAAGUCCGCUCUGAAAGUCCGGGGCUCAACCCCGGGAGGCGGGCGGAUACUGCCGGGCUAGAGUCCGGAAGAGGCGAGUGGAAUUCCUGGUGUAGCGGUGAAAUGCGUAGAUAUUGGGAGGAACACCAGUGGCGAAGGCGGCUCACUGGACUGGUACUGACGCUGAUGCGCGAAAGCGUGGGGAGCAAACAGG
RNAcentral lists this ribosomal RNA (253 nucleotides) under uncultured bacterium. RNAcentral describes it as "partial 16S ribosomal RNA". It matches the Rfam family "Bacterial small subunit ribosomal RNA", at positions 524 to 776 of the family's 1533-position model. The record is from RNAcentral.